GUGGAAAUGAAGAGGGAGAUGAAGUGCAAAUCAAAGGUAAAAGUGGGCAACGAUGAAGAUGUGAGGAGGCUUCAGAGGAGCAAAAGGUGAAAAAUGACAAGCGACAAGAAUCCCAGUCUAGGACCGGAGCUGUAGGACCACCUGUACAGCAAAAAAUACAGCAAAAAUGAAAAGUAGUGAGCAGAAGAAGGAGAAGAAGAAGAAGUGGGAUGGGAUGGAUUGGGACAGUGCUACGCUGUCAAAAUCUGCACACUCAGGAACUAUCAGAAAGAAAGAAAGAAAACACAAGAAAAUCAAUAAGAACAGAAGAAACAUGAAUAACAAUAAAUGAAGCAACAACAACAGAAGAGACAUUAGCUUUUCCAAAAUGGGGACUUGGAAGAGCCUUCAAAGCACCUUUCAUGUUGCUGUAGACUUGGUACAGGAUGCUAUUUGCCCCCAUGGGAAAGCCUACAUGCUGGUAACAUUCGGGGAGAACAGUCCCGAGGCUCUGGAGGCUCUGCGUCCACAAGACACCGAAGUCCGAUCU
Dunckerocampus dactyliophorus (ringed pipefish) is the source of this 529-nucleotide long non-coding RNA. RefSeq lists it as uncharacterized. NCBI's taxonomy places the organism in Eukaryota, Metazoa, Chordata, Actinopteri, Syngnathiformes, Syngnathidae. The transcript is spliced from 3 exons. The record is from RefSeq and is a predicted model, not a curated record.